This 448-nucleotide ribosomal RNA is filed under the name uncultured bacterium. RNAcentral describes it as "partial 16S ribosomal RNA". It matches the Rfam family "Bacterial small subunit ribosomal RNA", at positions 29 to 523 of the family's 1533-position model. The record is from RNAcentral.
AAUGAACGCUGGCGGCAGGCCUAACACGUGCAAGUCGAACGGAUCCUUCGGGAUUAGUGGCGGACGGGUGAGUAACGCGUGGGAACAUACCCUUGGUACGGAAUAGCCUCGGGAAACUGGGAGUAAUACCGUAUGUGGUCGAGAGACGAAAGAUUUAUCGCCAAAGGAUUGGCCCGCGUUGGAUUAGGUAGUUGGUGGGGUAAUGGCCUACCAAGCCGACGAUCCAUAGCUGGUUUGAGAGGAUGAUCAGCCACACUGGGACUGAGACACGGCCCAGACUCCUACGGGAGGCAGCAGUGGGGAAUCUUAGACAAUGGGGGAAACCCUGAUCUAGCCAUGCCGCGUGAUCGAUGAAGGCCUUAGGGUUGUAAAGAUCUUUCAGGUGGGAAGAUAAUGACUGUACCACCAGAAGAAGCCCCGGCUAACUCCGUGCCAGCAGCCGCCGUAA